GUUUAAUUAGUAUAAUUAGUACAUUUAAUUUCCAAUUAAAAAGUUUAAACUAAAUUAAACA
This 61-nucleotide transfer RNA is filed under the name Haemaphysalis concinna. RNAcentral describes it as "tRNA-Gly". The record is from RNAcentral. Lineage: Eukaryota; Metazoa; Arthropoda; Arachnida; Ixodida; Ixodidae.